GAUGAACGCUGGCGGCGUGCCUAAUACAUGCAAGUCGAGCGAACAGACGAGGAGCUUGCUCCUCUGACGUUAGCGGCGGACGGGUGAGUAACACGUGGAUAACCUACCUAUAAGGCUGGGAUAACUUCGGGAAACCGGAGCUAAUACCGGAUAAUAUAUUGAACCGCAUGGUUCAAUAGUGAAAGACGGUUUUGCUGUCACUUAUAGAUGGAUCCGCGCCGCAUUAGCUAGUUGGUAAGGUAACGGCUUACCAAGGCAACGAUGCGUAGCCGACCUGAGAGGGUGAUCGGCCACACUGGAACUGAGACACGGUCCAGACUACUACGGGAGGCAGCAGUAGGGAAUCUUCCGCAAUGGGCGAAAGCCUGACGGAGCAACGCCGCGUGAGUGAUGAAGGUCUUCGGAUCGUAAAACUCUGUUAUUAGGGAAGAACAAAUGUGUAAGUAACUAUGCACGUCUUGACGGUACCUAAUCAGAAAGCCACGGCUAACUACGUG
Molecule: ribosomal RNA, 497 nt
Filed under: uncultured bacterium
Lineage: Bacteria
Description: partial 16S ribosomal RNA
Rfam family: Bacterial small subunit ribosomal RNA
Source: RNAcentral